Molecule: long non-coding RNA, 1448 nt
Filed under: Homo sapiens (human)
Lineage: Eukaryota; Metazoa; Chordata; Mammalia; Primates; Hominidae
Description: non-protein coding lnc-KCNJ6-15:1
Source: RNAcentral
AUGGUAAUUCUAUUUUUAAUUUUUUGAGGAGCCACCAUACUGUUUUCCAUAGAGGCUGUAUCAUUUGAUAUUCCCACCAGCAGUGCACAAGGGUUCUAAUUUCUUCAUAUUUUUGCCACCAUUGUUAUUUUUAAUUUUUUUUAUAUUUCAUAGUAGCCAUCCUAAUAGGUGUGAAGUGUAAAAAUUAUUUUCUAAGACUAAAGAAUGAAGCUAUUGAGUGUCACUUGCUUAUCUUCAAGCAGUCAAUGCUUUUUUAAAAUAAUUCUUCAAAGCAGACUAUAUGUUGAAGUCAGAAGCUUCUGAUGUGUGACUUUCAGGGACUCUGAAACAGGUGUUCAUUUGGCAAUAGAAACUGAUGAAACAUUCAAAACAACUUUCUCUCCCAAACCUUAAAAAGAAAAAUUGUGACAUUAAAAAAAAUCACAAAUUGUUUUUUUCUUGUCAGUAAUGACUUACUGGUUCAUGCAGAGGUGAAUAUUGGUAGGUAAAUAAUCCCAGGACUGUAUGCUGAGAAUGAAGCUCAGAACCAGUUAAGGAAGAGCGUGUACUACCAAAGCAAAACAGGUUUUGCCUCUGGCGAGUCUGAGAAGUAGGAAUGGCUAUUUACAUACAUGUGUGGUUAGGGUCUCAGUCCUAAUCUAGUUGUGCAGCCAGAUAUAGCAUUUAACUGAGAGAAUAAUACUGCAGUGGACAUUCUUGUAGGUGACUUCUGGUGCACAUAUACACACAUCUCUAUUGUACAUGUAUUAAAUAGUGGAAUUACACAGUCUUUGAUGACAGUAGAUGUGCCGACUUUCUUUGUUUACUUCUCUAAUUCAUUCUCCAUCCUUCUCUGCUCCUCUUGUCCUGGGAGUUUGACUUCUGUCGACUACAUCAAAUGGGCUCCUUUGUCCUCUAUCUUCUGUUGGGUUAAGCAAAUGAGAGUCACCACAAGGAAGCCUGAGAGUAGGAGGAGAGAGCUUGGGGAGUUUUUUUCUCCAGCUUUCUCUCUUUGGUCAUGGGUUGGCAGUGACUUUUUCCCUCCAUGGAAGGCCACAGCUCCUAUUGUUUAUCCUCUCCUGUGUUCACAGCUACCGGUGCUGCGUGACUGCUACCUCCCUUGCCCUUGUAGGCCUGAGGGUAGUAAUGGCUUCCUGUUCUUGCUAGCCUGGGGGACUUCCUCACCCUUUGGUUUUUACUAAAUUCUACCUUUACCGUUGUAAAUUCUUUCAUUAAAUUUUGUUCACUUACCUAUUUGAAUAUGCUAUAUGCCUCUUAUUACAGCCCUGAUGGAUAAAUAAGGAUGUUUUUUAAACUCCAGCUGUGUGUGAGAGUUCUUAUUGCUCCACAUCUUCACCAACAUUGUUAGUCUUUGUUUUAGACAUUCUGAUGUAUCUGUGGUGUUAUUUCAUUCAGGUUUUAAUUUGUACUUCCUGCUUUACUAAUGAAGUAGAAGACCUUUUAAUGAG